AUUGAACGCUGGCGGCAUGCCUUACACAUGCAAGUCGAACGGCAGCGCGGACUUCGGUCUGGCGGCGAGUGGCGAACGGGUGAGUAAUACAUCGGAACGUACCCUGUUGUGGGGAAUAACUAGUCGAAAGAUUAGCUAAUACCGCAUACGACCUGAGGGUGAAAGUGGGGGACCGCAAGGCCUCACGCAGCAGGAGCGGCCGAUGUCUGAUUAGCUAGUUGGUGGGGUAAAGGCCCACCAAGGCGACGAUCAGUAGCUGGUCUGAGAGGACGAUCGGCCAAACUGGGACUGAGACACGGCCCAGACGCCUACGGGAGGCAGCAGUGGGGAAUUUUGGACAAUGGGGGCAACCCUGAUCCAGCAAUGCCGCGUGUGUGAAGAAGGCCUUCGGGUUGUAAAGCACUUUUGUCCGGAAAGAAAUCGCGCUGGUUAAUACCUGGCGUGGAUGACGGUACCGGAAGAAUAAGCACCGGCUAACUACGUGCCAGCAGCCGCGGUAA
RNAcentral lists this ribosomal RNA (500 nucleotides) under uncultured bacterium. Its description in RNAcentral is "partial 16S ribosomal RNA". It matches the Rfam family "Bacterial small subunit ribosomal RNA", at positions 29 to 523 of the family's 1533-position model. The record is from RNAcentral.